This 65-nucleotide transfer RNA is filed under the name Dipodomys ordii (Ord's kangaroo rat). It matches the Rfam family "tRNA". Rfam says of the family: Transfer RNA (tRNA) molecules are approximately 80 nucleotides in length. Their secondary structure includes four short double-helical elements and three loops (D, anti-codon, and T loops). Further hydrogen bonds mediate the characteristic L-shaped molecular structure. tRNAs have two regions of fundamental functional importance: the anti-codon, which is responsible for specific mRNA codon recognition, and the 3' end, to which the tRNAs corresponding amino acid is attached (by aminoacyl-tRNA synthetases). tRNAs cope with the degeneracy of the genetic code in two manners: having more than one tRNA (with a specific anti-codon) for a particular amino acid; and 'wobble' base-pairing, i.e. permitting non-standard base-pairing at the 3rd anti-codon position. Lineage: Eukaryota; Metazoa; Chordata; Mammalia; Rodentia; Heteromyidae. The record is from Rfam by way of RNAcentral.
GGUGGCUCAGUGGUAGAGUGCUUGCCUUGCGUGUAUGAGGCCCUGGGUUCAAUUCCUCAGCACCA